RNAcentral lists this ribosomal RNA (554 nucleotides) under uncultured bacterium. RNAcentral's name for it is "partial 16S ribosomal RNA". It matches the Rfam family "Bacterial small subunit ribosomal RNA", at positions 355 to 898 of the family's 1533-position model. The record is from RNAcentral.
UAGGGAAUCUUCCACAAUGGACGCAAGUCUGAUGGAGCAACGCCGCGUGAGUGAAGAAGGUUUUCGGACCGUAAAGCUCUGUUGUUGGUGAAGAAGGAUAGAGGUAGUAACUGGCCUUUAUUUGACGGUAAUCAACCAGAAAGUCACGGCUAACUACGUGCCAGCAGCCGCGGUAAUACGUAGGUGGCAAGCGUUGUCCGGAUUUAUUGGGCGUAAAGCGAGCGCAGGCGGAAGAAUAAGUCUGAUGUGAAAGCCCUCGGCUUAACCGAGGAAUUGCAUCGGAAACUGUUUUUCUUGAGUGCAGAAGAGGAGAGUAGAACUCCAUGUGUAGCGGUGGAAUGCGUAGAUAUAUGGAAGAAUACCAGUGGCGAAGGCGGCUCUCUGGUCUGCAACUGACGCUGAGGCUCGAAAAGCAUGGGUAGCGAACAGGAUUAGAUACCCUGGUAGUCCAUGCCGUAAACGAUGAGUGCUAAGUGUUGGGAGGCUUCCGCCUCUCAGUGCUGCAGCUAACGCAUUAAGCACUCCGCCUGGGGGAGUACGACCGCAAGGUUGAA